UACGGAGGGAGCUAGCGUUGUUCGGAAUUACUGGGCGUAAAGCGCGCGUAGGCGGCUUUGUAAGUUAGAGGUGAAAGCCCGGGGCUCAACUCCGGAACUGCCUUUAAGACUGCAUCGCUAGAAUCCGGGAGAGGUGAGUGGAAUUCCGAGUGUAGAGGUGAAAUUCGUAGAUAUUCGCAAGAACACCAGUGGCGAAGGCGGCUCACUGGCCCGAUACUGACGCUGAGGUGCGAAAGCGUGGGGAGCAAACAGG
Molecule: ribosomal RNA, 253 nt
Filed under: uncultured bacterium
Lineage: Bacteria
Description: partial 16S ribosomal RNA
Rfam family: Bacterial small subunit ribosomal RNA
Source: RNAcentral